Long non-coding RNA from Arabidopsis lyrata subsp. lyrata, 462 nucleotides. RefSeq lists it as uncharacterized. The transcript has 2 exons. NCBI's taxonomy places the organism in Eukaryota, Viridiplantae, Streptophyta, Magnoliopsida, Brassicales, Brassicaceae. The record is from RefSeq and is a predicted model, not a curated record.
AAAUAUUUAUACCGACUGAAUUAAGGAAAUUAUUUACUACUAUACAAAAUCGGAAUUAAAGCAUAUUCCUAAAAAAAAUCCGAUUAGAAUGAUUUGAUUAAAAAGAUUAAAGCAUGAAUAUUUACCUUGGCCACCACUACUUUCGUAACCUAAUCUUCCACGCCUAUAUAAACUCUUUAGCUUCACUUCUCAUCCCACCAUCAAACACACAAAGCCUUUUUAUUCUUCUACCGAAAUCGCAACAUCAAACACACAAAGCCUUCUGUAUCGCCAGGGCAUGGCGUAUUGAUAUUGGGUAGGGGUAUAUGCUUCUUUCUCGGCCUCAGAUUCCUUGUGCCCACCGCCACUGCGCGUGUUCUUCACCUGCAUUUAUAUUUCCAUUAUUCAGAUAUUAAUUACCAAUAAUGUAUUAGAUUGUGAAAAUAGUCUAAUUAUAUUAUUAAUCUGGGUUUGCAUGUGAAA